Molecule: long non-coding RNA, 649 nt
Organism: Sapajus apella (tufted capuchin)
Lineage: Eukaryota; Metazoa; Chordata; Mammalia; Primates; Cebidae
Exons: 4
Source: RefSeq, a predicted model, not a curated record
UCCUGAUCGUACAGAAGGCAGAGAAUGUGUGCUGAUUCUAACAAUAAUUAGAAAUGGACUUGGUUUUUAUGAGAAAAUUCAAAGAAAAAUACAGGAGAGGGUGGGGAAUCUGAAUUUUAUAACAAUGACAAUGAUGGCAAGAGUAGUUACCAACUACAUAGAGCUUAUAGGUGGUAAGCACUGUAAUAACCUCUAACAUGCACCCAAAACAAUUCUGUGUGGGAGAUGCAAUUAACUGCCACCAUUUUACAGAUGUUGAAAUCGACACUUAGAAGUAAUUUGCUCAAAGUCACGGAGCUAUGACAGUACAACCCACGAAUUCCUGCUCUCCUAUCUGCUGCUGCUUUAGCCUGGUGAGGCAGCCACCAGGAAGCCAAGGACAGUAGUUCCCCCUUAUCCACAGUUUUGCCAUCCAUGCUUUCAGUUGCCCGAGGUCAACUGCAGCCCAAAAAUGUUACAUACAGUAAGAUGUUUUGAGAGAGGGAGUGAGACCACGUUCAGAUAGCUUUUAUUACUGUUUGUUGUUAGAAUCGUUGUUUUAUUAUUAUUACUGUUAAUCUCGUACUGUGCCUAAUUUAUAAAUUAAGCUUUAUCUUAGAUAUGGAUGUAUAGGAAAAAACUUAGUAUAUAAUAUAUUAGAGAUAGGGUU